GCCGAAGUGGCGGAAUUGGUAGACGCGCUGGACUCAAAAUCCAGUGAUGGUCCCGCCGCGGCGGGAUGCGGGUUCGAUUCCCGCCUUCGGUACCA
Molecule: transfer RNA, 95 nt
Filed under: Lewinella sp.
Lineage: Bacteria; Pseudomonadati; Bacteroidota; Saprospiria; Saprospirales; Lewinellaceae
Description: tRNA-Leu
Rfam family: tRNA
About the family: Transfer RNA (tRNA) molecules are approximately 80 nucleotides in length. Their secondary structure includes four short double-helical elements and three loops (D, anti-codon, and T loops). Further hydrogen bonds mediate the characteristic L-shaped molecular structure. tRNAs have two regions of fundamental functional importance: the anti-codon, which is responsible for specific mRNA codon recognition, and the 3' end, to which the tRNAs corresponding amino acid is attached (by aminoacyl-tRNA synthetases). tRNAs cope with the degeneracy of the genetic code in two manners: having more than one tRNA (with a specific anti-codon) for a particular amino acid; and 'wobble' base-pairing, i.e. permitting non-standard base-pairing at the 3rd anti-codon position.
Source: RNAcentral